UACGGGGGGGGCAAGCGUUGUUCGGAAUUACUGGGCGUAAAGGGCUCGUAGGUGGCCAACUAAGUCAGACGUGAAAUCCCUCGGCUUAACCGGGGAACUGCGUCUGAUACUGGAUGGCUUGAGUUUGGGAGAGGGACGCGGAAUUCCAGGUGUAGCGGUGAAAUGCGUAGAUAUCUGGAGGAACACCGGUGGCGAAGGCGGCGUCCUGGACCAUCACUGACACUGAGGAGCGAAAGCCAGGGGAGCAAACGGG
This 253-nucleotide ribosomal RNA is filed under the name uncultured bacterium. RNAcentral's name for it is "partial 16S ribosomal RNA". It matches the Rfam family "Bacterial small subunit ribosomal RNA", at positions 524 to 776 of the family's 1533-position model. The record is from RNAcentral.